GUGCUUCCUUCAGCUGCACAUAUACUAAAAUUGGACCAAUGCAGAGAAGAUUGGCAUGGUCCCUGUGCAAGGAUGACAUGCAAGUUCAUGAAGCAUUCCAUGUUUAA
Molecule: small nuclear RNA, 107 nt
Organism: Saimiri boliviensis boliviensis (Bolivian squirrel monkey)
Lineage: Eukaryota; Metazoa; Chordata; Mammalia; Primates; Cebidae
Source: Ensembl